This is an unclassified non-coding RNA of Gorilla gorilla gorilla (western lowland gorilla), 101 nucleotides long. It matches the Rfam family "Y RNA". Rfam says of the family: Y RNAs are components of the Ro ribonucleoprotein particle (Ro RNP), in association with Ro60 and La proteins. NCBI's taxonomy places the organism in Eukaryota, Metazoa, Chordata, Mammalia, Primates, Hominidae. The record is from Ensembl.
GGCUGGCCCGAGUGCAGUGGUGUUUACAGCGAAUUGAUCACAACCAGUUACAGAUUCCUGUGUCUUUCUCUGCUCCCACUGCUUCACCUGACUAGCCUAAA